AGCGCCAGGGAAAUUACGAGCAAUGCUUAAAACCCAAAGGAUUUGACGGUAUCCCAUCCACCUAGAGGAGCCUGUUCUAUAAUCGAUAACCCCCGCUAUACCCAACCACCCCUAGCCUAUCAGUCUGUAUACCUCCGUCGAAAGCCUACCAUGUGAAUGUGCUCAGUAAGCUUAAUGUCCUCAUCAAAACGUCAGGUCAAGGUGCAGCUCAUGGGAUGGAAAGCAAUGGGCUACAAUUUCUAAUUUAGAACAUACGAAAUACUAGGUGAAACCCUAGUCAUGAAGGCGGAUUUAGCAGUAAAAAGAAAAUAGAGUGUUCUUUUUAACCUGGCCCUGGGAUGUGUACACACCGCCCGUCACCCUCUUCGACAAUUAUUAAUUCUGUUUCAUAACUCCCCUCCCCCCACCUUAGAAGAGGCAAGUCGUAACAUGGUAAGUGUACUGGAAAGUGCACUUGGCUAAUUU
Molecule: ribosomal RNA, 465 nt
Filed under: Sanguirana sp. 'Negros-Panay'
Lineage: Eukaryota; Metazoa; Chordata; Amphibia; Anura; Ranidae
Description: partial 12S ribosomal RNA
Rfam family: Bacterial small subunit ribosomal RNA
Source: RNAcentral